UCUCUCUGGUGUAUUUCUUCCUCUGGCUCUCGUGCCUUCCCCAGACAUCUCACACCGCCGCCGCCGCCGAGGGUUAGGGUUUGUGGCCGGAGAUCCCUCGAUUGGAUUGGAGCGGCCGGCGCGGCGUGGUCGAAUCGAAUCGAAGAGAAGCGAUAGAGAUGGACGCGCAGCGUGCUCUGCUGGACGCGCUGAUGGGGUCGUCGCGGGACCUGACGGAGGAGGAGAAGAAGGAGCACCGGGAGGUGGCGUGGGACGACCCCGACGUGUGCGCCCCCUACAUGGCCCGCUUCUGCCCCCACGACCUCUUCAUCAACACCAAGAGCAACCUCGGAGUAUGCCCAAAGAUCCACGACCCGGCCCUAAAGCAAAGCUUCGAGUCCUCCCCCCGCUACGCCGCCGUCCUCCCCAAAUUCGAGGCUGACCUCGCCCACCGCUGCGAGAGGCUGGUCCAGGACCUGGAUAAGAAGAUCAGGCGCGGCCGCGACAGGCUUGCGCAGGACGUCGUGGAGGUGCCGCCCCCCGCCGCCCAUGCCGAGAAGGUCGAGCAGCUCGCCAUUCUCGAAGACAAGAUCAAGAAGCUGCUCGAGCAGAUUGAGCAGCUCGGCGACACCGGCAAGAUCGACGAGGCCACUGCGCUCAUGAGGAAGGUGGAUAUUCUCAACCUCGAGAAGUCGGCUCUCACCCACCAGAUAGAGACCAAGCUCUCCAUGGUCCCGCAAGAGAAGAAGAUGGAGCUCUGUGAGCAGUGCGGCUCCUUUCUCGUCACCAACGACGUCCUUGAGAGGACGCAGUCCCAUGUCACCGGCAAACAGCACAUUGGUUAUGGUCUGGUCAGGGAAUUCCUCGCCGAAUACAAGGCUGCGAAAGAAGCGGAGAAGCUUGCAAGGGAGAAGGAAGCAGAGGAGCGUCAGAACCGGGAGAGAGGAUACCAUAACAGAGGCCACCGCGACGACUAUAGGGAGAGAUCCAGGGAGCAUGACCGUGACCGCUACUAUGAGCGAGGAAGCCGUGACAGAGAGAGGCCCUAUGAGCAGGGAGGUAGAGGGUCAGACUAUAGAGGCGGUUCCUAUAACAGCCGCAGGGAUUCUGAAAGGGCGAGGCCCAGAGAUAGGAACGGUGGUGAUUUUUCAAGAAGAGGAGACCCGGGGAGGGUGAGGAGCAGGUCCCGGUCUCCAGGCAGGCAUGGUUAUUAAUCAUUUCAAGUUAUAUGAGACUCAUGAGGUAGACCAUUAUGCUCCUUUGCUUAUUCAUUCAGUCACAAUGUCUGAGUGUUGUCAUGAUUAAAUUUAAACCUUACUCUGCUCUAGCAGCUCUUUGUUGAAACCAUACCCCUAUGGUCUUCCUUUUAUUAUAGAGAGGAUAAAAAACAGAGGAAGGAUUGGAUGGUCAACUUGGGACUUGUUUGGUACAUCAACCAGAAGAAUGAAUUCCAGUGUGUUGUUGGCCGGUGCAUGCCACGGAGAUGAAUGUUAGAUUUCAAUUACAGAAUCACCCUUUUGGGCGUCGCUCGAUGGUUGAGAGUUGAAUUUGAGCUUUGAGCGGACUUGAAACGUUUUGUUCCAACCACCUGAUGCAAAUUUUCUGGCUGUAUUUGGUUCAAAUAUGAAAUGCAGAUCGGUACCUUUGCACUUGUUUCUACCACACCUUUUGUUCCAACCAACGAAUACCUGCCCUGGGUGUGAAAUAUAAUUUGGUCAUAUGGUUUUUUAGGUCCUAGAUCUGACUAUCCAAACAUGUAUUGUGAGCCAUAAAAAUUAUGUCUCUUGAUUCAUUAUCAAAUGAGAUUGAAACA
Molecule: RNA transcript, 1792 nt
Organism: Triticum urartu
Lineage: Eukaryota; Viridiplantae; Streptophyta; Magnoliopsida; Poales; Poaceae
Gene name: LUC7 N terminus domain-containing protein
Source: RefSeq, a predicted model, not a curated record